UACGUAGGGAGCAAGCGUUGUUCGGAAUGACUGGGCGUAAAGGGAGCGUAGACGGUAUGGCAAGUCUGAUGUGAAAACCCGGGGCUCAACCCCGGGACUGCAUUGGAAACUGCCGAACUAGAGUGUCGGAGAGGCAAGUGGAAUUCCUAGUGUAGCGGUGAAAUGCGUAGAUAUUAGGAGGAACACCAGUGGCGAAGGCGGCUUGCUGGACGAUGACUGACGUUGAGGCUCGAAAGCGUGGGGAGCAAACAGG
This 253-nucleotide ribosomal RNA is filed under the name uncultured Dorea sp. Its description in RNAcentral is "partial 16S ribosomal RNA". It matches the Rfam family "Bacterial small subunit ribosomal RNA", at positions 524 to 776 of the family's 1533-position model. The record is from RNAcentral. Lineage: Bacteria; Bacillati; Bacillota; Clostridia; Lachnospirales; Lachnospiraceae.